GUAGGGGGCAAGCGUUAUCCGGAAUUACUGGGUGUAAAGGGAGAGUAGGCGGCACGGUAAGCGAUAUGUGAAAGCCUUAAGCUUAACUUAAGGAUUGCAUAACGAACUAUCUAGCUAGAGUACAGGAGAGGAAAGCGGAAUUCCUAGUGUAGCGGUGAAAUGCGUAGAUAUUAGGAAGAACACCAGUGGCAAAGGCGGCUUUCUGGACUGAAACUGACGCUGAGGCUCGAAAGCGUGGGGAGAGAA
RNAcentral lists this ribosomal RNA (246 nucleotides) under uncultured bacterium. RNAcentral's name for it is "partial 16S ribosomal RNA". It matches the Rfam family "Bacterial small subunit ribosomal RNA", at positions 527 to 772 of the family's 1533-position model. The record is from RNAcentral.